AGCAUCUCCAAUGGUGAGAGCCUC
This 24-nucleotide non-coding RNA is filed under the name Arabidopsis thaliana (thale cress). The record is from RNAcentral. Lineage: Eukaryota; Viridiplantae; Streptophyta; Magnoliopsida; Brassicales; Brassicaceae.